UUAUUUUGAAAGUGCCAAAGUAGAAUGUGUAAUACAAACAUGUCCAGAGCUGCUUCGAAAAGAUUUUGAAUCAAUGUUUCUAGAAGUGAAUUCUGGCAAAUUAGUAGUACUAACUGUAACACAGAAAACCAAAAAUGAUAUGACCAUAUGGAGUGAGGAGGUUGAAAAUGAAAGAGAAAUGCUGUUGGAAAAGGUGAAAACAUGAAUCCAGAUGCCAUGGUGGCUCCCUUAGACUUCCAAGAUGAUGGUGUGACUUCAUAUAUGAUUUUCUUUAAAGACAGUUUAGAAAUGGAGAAAUGUUAACAAAUUCAGCUGAUUGCUUUGAAUUACCCAUCAUCAUAACUGGCUGCUGCUUUUUGUCAUCUACACAACACCAAGACUUGUACAGAUUUGGACUGAUGCCAUCAUGAGCUUCAUUCACUUAUUUUUGAUUUAUCUGCAGGUAAGCAUUGUUUUUUGUUUUGUUUCUUUUUUUGCUUUUUGGUGAGGCAAUUGGGGUUAAGUGUCACCUAAGGUCACACAGAUAGUAAACGUCAAGUGUCUGAGAU
RNAcentral lists this long non-coding RNA (548 nucleotides) under Phascolarctos cinereus (koala). RNAcentral describes it as "lncRNA (ENSPCIG00000004181.2)". Lineage: Eukaryota; Metazoa; Chordata; Mammalia; Diprotodontia; Phascolarctidae. The record is from RNAcentral.